RNAcentral lists this transfer RNA (67 nucleotides) under Sitophilus granarius (granary weevil). RNAcentral describes it as "tRNA-Arg". The record is from RNAcentral. Lineage: Eukaryota; Metazoa; Arthropoda; Insecta; Coleoptera; Curculionidae.
UAUUGAGAAGUAAAAACUUACAUUUAGUUUCGACCUAAAAAUUUGAUUGAAAUUCAAUCCUCACUUU